AAAAAAUUGUAACUUAUACACAUGGGCAAAUAGGGAGUUUUUUUUUUUUUUAAUUUGUGGUGCAGCAAGGCACAGAACUCAUUUUGUUUUUAGAUUCUACAUUUCUCCAGCUACGUUUCUCAAAUUUCUCAUCUCAAAGUUUCCAUCUAUACAAAUUUUCAUUUCUUGAGCUAGGAUUAUCAAAUAGUGAAAGUUUAUUUGAAGU
RNAcentral lists this unclassified non-coding RNA (205 nucleotides) under Hevea brasiliensis (rubber tree). The record is from RNAcentral. Lineage: Eukaryota; Viridiplantae; Streptophyta; Magnoliopsida; Malpighiales; Euphorbiaceae.